CGCAGCCGCGGUAAUCCCAGCUCCAAUAGCGUAUAUUAAAGUUGUUGCAGUUAAAAAGCUCGUAGUUGAAUUUCGGGAUCAAUUAGUCGGUCGUGCCUCUGGUACGUACUGGUUUUAUUGGUUCCUCCCUUCUGACGAAACAUGAUGUCAUUAAUUUGGUGUCGUGGAGAAUCAGGACUGUUACCUUGAAAAAAUUAGAGUGUUUAUAGCAGGCUAACGCUUGAAUACAUUAGCAUGGAAUAAUGAAAUAGGACGUUCGACCCUAUUUUGUUGGUUUCUAGGAUCGACGUAAUGAUUAAUAGGGAUGGUUGGGGGCAUUAGUAUUCAAUUGUCAGAGGUGAAAUUCUUGGAUUUAUUGAAGACUAACUACUGCGAAAGCAUUUGCCAAGGAUGUUUUCAUUAAUCAAGAACGAAAGUUAGGGGAUCGAAGACGAUCAGAUACCGUCGUAGUCUUAACCAUAAACUAUGCCGACUAGGGAUCGGAUGAUGUAAUUUUUAAUGACUCAUUCGCGCCUUACGG
RNAcentral lists this ribosomal RNA (520 nucleotides) under uncultured Glomus. RNAcentral's name for it is "SSU rRNA". It matches the Rfam family "Eukaryotic small subunit ribosomal RNA", at positions 569 to 1093 of the family's 1831-position model. Lineage: Eukaryota; Fungi; Glomeromycota; Glomeromycetes; Glomerales; Glomeraceae. The record is from RNAcentral.